Molecule: small nucleolar RNA, 98 nt
Filed under: Salix viminalis (osier)
Lineage: Eukaryota; Viridiplantae; Streptophyta; Magnoliopsida; Malpighiales; Salicaceae
Also listed under: 2 other names
Rfam family: Small nucleolar RNA Z266
About the family: Z266 is a member of the C/D class of snoRNA which contain the C (UGAUGA) and D (CUGA) box motifs. Most of the members of the box C/D family function in directing site-specific 2'-O-methylation of substrate RNAs.
Source: RNAcentral
AAUAGGCAAAGAUGAUGAAUCAAUUAGAUGUGUGAAUGGAGCUUAAUCUAUAUUGAACUCAACUUUUUUGAGGCAUUGUAUUGUCUGAUUUGCUUAUU